AACGAACGCUGGCGGCAUGCCUAACACAUGCAAGUCGAACGAGACCUUCGGGUCUAGUGGCGCACGGGUGCGUAACGCGUGGGAACCUGCCCUUAGGUUCGGAAUAACUCCCCGAAAGGGGUGCUAAUACCGGAUAAUGUCUUCGGACCAAAGAUUUAUCGCCUUUGGAUGGGCCCGCGUUGGAUUAGCUAGUUGGUAGGGUAAAAGCCUACCAAGGCGACGAUCCAUAGCUGGUCUGAGAGGAUGAUCAGCCACACUGGGACUGAGACACGGCCCAGACUACUGGAGGAGGGGGGAGUGGGAAAUAUUGGAAAAUGGGGGAAGUCAUGACCGAGCACGGGUGGGUGAGAGAUGAUGCUGUUGGGGUAGAAAAGCUGUUUAACCCGGGGUUAUAAUGACGGUACCGGAAGAAUAGGCCCCGGCUAACUCCGUG
RNAcentral lists this ribosomal RNA (433 nucleotides) under uncultured bacterium. RNAcentral's name for it is "partial 16S ribosomal RNA". It matches the Rfam family "Bacterial small subunit ribosomal RNA", at positions 29 to 507 of the family's 1533-position model. The record is from RNAcentral.